This 26-nucleotide non-coding RNA is filed under the name Homo sapiens (human). Lineage: Eukaryota; Metazoa; Chordata; Mammalia; Primates; Hominidae. The record is from RNAcentral.
UCAGUAGAUGGCUGCUUGAUCCUAUU